Solanum verrucosum is the source of this 183-nucleotide long non-coding RNA. RefSeq lists it as uncharacterized. The record is from RefSeq and is a predicted model, not a curated record. The transcript has 2 exons. Lineage: Eukaryota; Viridiplantae; Streptophyta; Magnoliopsida; Solanales; Solanaceae.
UGCUCAUGAUCUUUUGCUAUGUAUAAGACUUUUCCUUUUUAGUUAUGUUUUGACUAUGAGGGUGAGCCCGGUGGUUUGUCUUGGCCCCCGCUAAGUACUCAUGUUUAGAGGUGGUGUUGGACAAGUUGUGUAUUAUGCUUGAGCUUGACUCAUCUAUGGUAUUUAUGUAUCAUUUCUUUUUUU